Molecule: non-coding RNA, 136 nt
Organism: Hordeum vulgare subsp. vulgare (domesticated barley)
Lineage: Eukaryota; Viridiplantae; Streptophyta; Magnoliopsida; Poales; Poaceae
Source: Rfam
CAAAUACUUCCUCCGUUCUAAAGUUCUUGUCUUAGGUUUGUCUAGAAAUGAAUGUAUUAAAAUACUAAAACAUGACUAGAUACAUUCAUAUCUAGACAAAUCUAAAAUAAGAAUUUUGAGACGGAUGGAAUAACAA